This 610-nucleotide ribosomal RNA is filed under the name Streptomyces sp. Its description in RNAcentral is "bacterial SSU rRNA". It matches the Rfam family "Bacterial small subunit ribosomal RNA", at positions 57 to 683 of the family's 1533-position model. The record is from RNAcentral. Lineage: Bacteria; Bacillati; Actinomycetota; Actinomycetes; Kitasatosporales; Streptomycetaceae.
GCAAGUCGAACGAUGAACCACUUCGGUGGGGAUUAGUGGCGAACGGGUGAGUAACACGUGGGCAAUCUGCCCUGCACUCUGGGACAAGCCCUGGAAACGGGGUCUAAUACCGGAUACUGAUCCUCGUAGGCAUCUGCGAGGUUCGAAAGCUCCGGCGGUGCAGGAUGAGCCCGCGGCCUAUCAGCUUGUUGGUGAGGUAAUGGCUCACCAAGGCGACGACGGGUAGCCGGCCUGAGAGGGCGACCGGCCACACUGGGACUGAGACACGGCCCAGACUCCUACGGGAGGCAGCAGUGGGGAAUAUUGCACAAUGGGCGAAAGCCUGAUGCAGCGACGCCGCGUGAGGGAUGACGGCCUUCGGGUUGUAAACCUCUUUCAGCAGGGAAGAAGCGAAAGUGACGGUACCUGCAGAAGAAGCGCCGGCUAACUACGUGCCAGCAGCCGCGGUAAUACGUAGGGCGCAAGCGUUGUCCGGAAUUAUUGGGCGUAAAGAGCUCGUAGGCGGCUUGUCACGUCGGUUGUGAAAGCCCGGGGCUUAACCCCGGGUCUGCAGUCGAUACGGGCAGGCUAGAGUUCGGUAGGGGAGAUCGGAAUUCCUGGUGUAGCGGUG